UACACCUGGAAACCCUGCAAUUCGGUAGA
Molecule: non-coding RNA, 29 nt
Filed under: Bombyx mori (domestic silkworm)
Lineage: Eukaryota; Metazoa; Arthropoda; Insecta; Lepidoptera; Bombycidae
Source: RNAcentral